Molecule: long non-coding RNA, 1592 nt
Filed under: Nicotiana benthamiana
Lineage: Eukaryota; Viridiplantae; Streptophyta; Magnoliopsida; Solanales; Solanaceae
Description: long non-coding RNA (NBEN_LNC012959)
Source: RNAcentral
UUUGUAUUUGGAAGAUUGAUCCAAACAAUGAAGAAAACAAGACUUUGAUAGCAUCAUCAAGAGUCACCCUUAAGGCCAACAUGUCUGUACCUGAAAAUGCUAAAGAUGCUGCUGUCAAUCUCAAGAAAUAUGCUAAGUUAUGAUCAGGUUUAAUUGAGUUCGAUUGCAGCAUAUUUGAUUGUAAGCAAAACUAUACAUAACCUAAUUGUGAAGAAAGAUAAAGAGAUGGGCUAAUCAAUUUGGAGUUUGAUGCUCCAUCAAUAAUUAAUGGAUACCGUAAUUAAUUUGUUUCACUCUCUUGCUUUUACUGUAUUUAUUGAGAUACUAUCUUUGGCAAGUAUGGGAGCACAUAUGGCAUCCGGUUUUGGACGAGUGGCUGGAGUUCAGCUCAGUAUCCACCAUCUCAAGAGUGCUCAUAUUGGUGAUCUUGUUUUUGCCGAGGCUGUACCUGUCAAUAUUGGCAAAACUAUUCAUGUUUGGGAAGUUUGUAUUUGGAAGAUUGAUCCAAACAAUGAAGAAAACAAGACUUUGAUAGCAUCAUCAAGAGUCACCCUUAAGGCCAACAUGUCUGUACCUGAAAAUGCUAAAGAUGCUGCUGUCAAUCUCAAGAAAUAUGCUAAGUUAUGAUCAGGUUUAAUUGAGUUCGAUUGCAGCAUAUUUGAUUGUAAGCAAAACUAUACAUAACCUAAUUGUGAAGAAAGAUAAAGAGAUGGGCUAAUCAAUUUGGAGUUUGAUGCUCCAUCAAUAAUUAAUGGAUACCGUAAUUAAUUUGUUUCACUCUCUUGCUUUUACUGUAUUUAUUGAGAUACUAAUAUAUCGCAUCUAAUUCCAAAUUCAAUAGUAUUUCUGGGGUCCAAAUAUGUCCUAGGUACUUUCCUUUUUAGUUUGUUCUAAAAUAAAUAUUAUAUUUCUAAAUUUGAAAAUAAUUUCUUUUUAGUUUGUUCUAAAAUAAAUAUUAUAUUUCUAAAUUUGGAAAUAAUUCAACUUUAAACUUUAAUUUUAUCCUUUUUAUCCUUAUGAGAAGUUUUUAUCGCCACAUAAAUGAUACGACACCGCAAUCCUUUUACCCCUUGCUGCUUCAAACAUUAACAAUAUGAACGAAACGGAGGCAGUAUAUCUUUUCUCCGAGUAUGAAGAUUGGAAGGGACAAACCACAAGCCAACUAAGGGCCGACCAUUAAGUUUACCCUUACAUUAAUAUACCAAUCAAGGUAAUGUUUUCCACCUACCACGCACUUUACCCUUUAUCCUUUCUUCUUCCUCACAGCUAUUCCAUAAGUCCAAACUCCAAUCAUCAUCUUCAAUCUAUUCUUCUCUGCCACUUUCAUCAAGAUUCUUGAUUUCCAUAAACAGAUAAUCAGAUUUACCAUUUCAGAAUAUCUGAAUCCAAAAGAGAAACUCCCUUUUUAAUUUAUCAAAAAUUGACCUUGUUGAGAUAUGGAUUAUCUCUUGCCCCAUAACUGAAAGAACCAUAUAGUGCGACAAAAAGGUUCAUUCCAAUUUGGACAGGUGUUUCUGCUAAAGCUAGGAACGUGAGUCAAACCUUUCUGUCCGAGGUCAACCUCCAAGAACAAGACCUCAUUUCAAGAUAAC